RNAcentral lists this ribosomal RNA (856 nucleotides) under uncultured bacterium. RNAcentral describes it as "bacterial SSU rRNA". It matches the Rfam family "Bacterial small subunit ribosomal RNA", at positions 25 to 889 of the family's 1533-position model. The record is from RNAcentral.
CAGGACGAACGCUGGCGGCGUGCUUAACACAUGCAAGUCGAACGAGGCCCAAGCGUCAGCAAUGACGUGGAAGGCCUAGUGGCGAACGGGUGAGUAACACGUGAGGAACCUACCCCGGACUCAGGGAUAACAGACGGAAACAUCUGCUAAUACCUGAUGCCGUCGGAGCAUCACAUGGUGCACUGACGAAAGAAUCUCGGUUCGGGAGGGCCUCGCGGCCUAUCAGCUAGUUGGUGGGGUAACGGCCUACCAAGGCAUCGACGGGUAGCUGGUCUGAGAGGAUGAUCAGCCACACUGGGACUGAGACACGGCCCAGACUCCUACGGGAGGCAGCAGUGGGGAAUCUUGCGCAAUGGGCGAAAGCCUGACGCAGCAACGCCGCGUGCGGGAAGAAGGCCUUAGGGUUGUAAACCGCUUUCAGUAGGAACGAAAAUGACGGUACCUGCAGAAGAAGGUGCGGCCAACUACGUGCCAGCAGCCGCGGUGACACGUAGGCACCAAGCGUUGUCCGGAUUUAUUGGGCGUAAAGAGCUCGUAGGCGGUUCAGUAAGUCGGGUGUGAAAACUCUGGGCUUAACCCAGAGCCGCCACUCGAUACUGCUGUGACUUGAGUUCGGUAGGGGAGCAGGGAAUUCCUAGUGUAGCGGUGAAAUGCGCAGAUAUUAGGAGGAACACCGGUGGCGAAGGCGCUGCUCUGGGCCGAUACUGACGCUGAGGAGCGAAAGCGUGGGUAGCAAACAGGAUUAGAUACCCUGGUAGUCCACGCCGUAAACGUUGGGCACUAGGUGUGGGUUCCAACCAACGGAAUCCGCGCCGUCGCUAACGCAUUAAGUGCCCCGCCUGGGGAGUACGGCGGC